RNAcentral lists this ribosomal RNA (581 nucleotides) under uncultured bacterium. RNAcentral's name for it is "bacterial SSU rRNA". It matches the Rfam family "Bacterial small subunit ribosomal RNA", at positions 338 to 916 of the family's 1533-position model. The record is from RNAcentral.
CCUACGGGAGGCAGCAGUAAGGAAUAUUGGUCAAUGGAGGCAACUCUGAACCAGCCAUGCCGCGUGCAGGAAGACGGCCCUAUGGGUUGUAAACUGCUUUUGAACUAGAGAAAACCUUGGUACGUGUACCGAGUUGAUAGUAUAGUUAGAAUAAGCAUCGGCUAACUUCGUGCCAGCAGCCGCGGUAAGACGAAGGAUGCAAGCGUUAUCCGGAUUCAUUGGGUUUAAAGGGUGCGUAGGCGGACUGAUAAGUCAGUGGUGAAAUCUCUCAGCUUAACUGAGAAACUGCCAUUGAUACUGUUAGUCUAGAGUACAGAUGAUGUGGGCGGAAUAUGACAUGUAGUGGUGAAAUACUUAGAUAUGUCAUAGAACACCGAUUGCGAAGGCAGCUCACAAAACUGUAACUGACGCUGAGGCACGAAAGUGCGGGGAUCAAACAGGAUUAGAUACCCUGGUAGUCCGCACCGUAAACGAUGAUUACUCGUUGUUGGCGAUAUGACAGUCAGCGACCAAGCGAAAGCGANAAGUAAUCCACCCUGGGGAGUACGCCGGCAACGGUGAAACGUCAAAUGAAUUGACGG